UGAGUUUGAUCCUGGCUCAGGAUGAACGCUAGCUGCAGGCUUAACACAUGCAAGUCGAGGGGCAGCAUGUUGGUUGCUUGCAACCAAUGAUGGCGACCGGCGCACGGGUGAGUAACGCGUAUCCAACCUACCCUUGUCCAUCGGAUAACCCGUCGAAAGGCGGCCUAACACGAUAUGCGGUUCUCAGCAGGCAUCUAACGAGAACGAAAUGUGAAGGAGAAGGAUGGGGAUGCGUCUGAUUAGCUUGUUGGCGGGGUAACGGCCCACCAAGGCGACGAUCAGGUAGGGGUUCUGAGAGGAACGGUCCCCCACAGUUGGAACUGACGACACGGUCCAAACUCCGUACGGGAGGCA
This 354-nucleotide ribosomal RNA is filed under the name uncultured bacterium. Its description in RNAcentral is "bacterial SSU rRNA". It matches the Rfam family "Bacterial small subunit ribosomal RNA", at positions 1 to 350 of the family's 1533-position model. The record is from RNAcentral.